Molecule: unclassified non-coding RNA, 298 nt
Filed under: plant metagenome
Description: partial contains 5.8S ribosomal RNA, internal transcribed spacer 2, and large subunit ribosomal RNA
Rfam family: 5.8S ribosomal RNA (bases 1-104)
Source: RNAcentral
AAAUGCGAUAAGUAAUGUGAGUUGCAGAAUUCAGUGAAUCAUCGAAUCUUUGAACGCACAUUGCGCCCCCUGGUAUUCCGGGGGGCAUGCCUGUUCGAGCGUCAUUUCACCACUCAAGCCUCGCUUGGUAUUGGGCGACGCGGUCCUCCGCGCGCCUCAAAUCGACCGGCUGGGUCUUUCGUCCCCUCAGCGUUGUGGAAACUAUUCGCUAAAGGGUGCCGCGGGAGGCCACGCCGUAAAACAACCCCAUUUCUAAGGUUGACCUCGGAUCAGGUAGGGAUACCCGCUGAACUUAGGC